This is a long non-coding RNA of Esox lucius (northern pike), 508 nucleotides long. The record is from Ensembl. NCBI's taxonomy places the organism in Eukaryota, Metazoa, Chordata, Actinopteri, Esociformes, Esocidae.
CUUUGACAAGGUUAAAUUAUGUCCAAAACAUACUCCGUAGUUUGUGGUUUAAAAUGUGUGUUAAGGAUGAAAAUGAAAACAUCCCCGCUUAGCAAAUGGUGUCAUCCUCUUCUCUUCUUCUACUUCUCCACUGUACCUGCACCGCUCAGCACAACCGUCAUCCAGCACGAAACACACGCAGAGUGAGAACCCGUUAUGUAGUGUUGUGAAUCAACUUUGCUCCAAAGCUGUGUCUCACACUUCUUUCAUUUUACCUAGAGUUGUUCCGAAACCAUAUCGCCAUCUCCACAGGUGUUUCAGAGAAUUUGGCCGUACAUCCAACCGGCCCCACAACCACAGACCAUGUGUAACCACACCAGCCCAGGACCUCCACAUCCAUUAUCUUCACCUCCAAGAUCGUCUGAGACCAGCCACCCGGACAGCUGCUGCAACAAUCGGUGCAGCAACGGGUCCAACUGCAGAGGAAGGUGAAGAUAGAAUUGAAGACCACUCAGACUCAUUUCCGGCA